GACGGAGGGUGCAAGCGUUGCUCGGAAUCACUGGGCGUAAAGGGUGCGUAGGCGGGUCUUUAAGUCAGGGGUGAAAUCCUGGAGCUCAACUCCAGAACUGCCUUUGAUACUGAGGAUCUUGAGUACGGGAGAGGUGAGUGGAACUGCGAGUGUAGAGGUGAAAUUCGUAGAUAUUCGCAAGAACACCAGUGGCGAAGGCGGCUCACUGGCCCGUAACUGACGCUGAGGCACGAAAGCGUGGGGAGCAAACAGG
RNAcentral lists this ribosomal RNA (253 nucleotides) under uncultured bacterium. Its description in RNAcentral is "partial 16S ribosomal RNA". It matches the Rfam family "Bacterial small subunit ribosomal RNA", at positions 524 to 776 of the family's 1533-position model. The record is from RNAcentral.